GACAUCUGUUGGACCGUACCAUGAUGGGAAUCAUGCCUACUUCACGCAUUUCUGAUUGUCUAGGGCCUCCAUUGACACUCCAUGAGAAUUUAAGAACCAAUCUUGAUUUAUAAGUAGUCAAACGCUCUCUGGCUUCAGCAGGGUAGACUUUGCGGUUAAUAGAAGACCUUUCACGACUAGACAACAUUGGCUUCGCAAUUUGAACCUCAUCAACGCGGA
Schizosaccharomyces pombe (fission yeast) is the source of this 219-nucleotide non-coding RNA. The record is from the annotation of a GenBank genome assembly. Lineage: Eukaryota; Fungi; Ascomycota; Schizosaccharomycetes; Schizosaccharomycetales; Schizosaccharomycetaceae.